AACGAACGCUGGCGGCAGGCUUAACACAUGCAAGUCGAACGGAUCCUUCGGGAUUAGUGGCAGACGGGUGAGUAACGCGUGGGAACGUACCCUUUGCUACGGAAUAACUCAGGGAAACUUGAGCUAAUACCGUAUGUGCCCUACGGGGGAAAGAUUUAUCGGCAAAGGAUCGGCCCGCGUUGGAUUAGCUAGUUGGUGGGGUAAUGGCCUACCAAGGCGACGAUCCAUAGCUGGUCUGAGAGGAUGAUCAGCCACACUGGGACUGAGACACGACCCAGACUCCUACGGGAGGCAGCAGUGGGGAAUAUUGGACAAUGGGCGCAAGCCUGAUCCAGCCAUGCCGCGUGAGUGAUGAAGGUCUUAGGAUUGUAAAGCUCUUUCACCGGUGAAGAUAAUGACGGUAGCCGGAGAAGAAGCCCCGGCUAACUUCGUG
Molecule: ribosomal RNA, 433 nt
Filed under: uncultured bacterium
Lineage: Bacteria
Description: partial 16S ribosomal RNA
Rfam family: Bacterial small subunit ribosomal RNA
Source: RNAcentral